RNAcentral lists this ribosomal RNA (492 nucleotides) under uncultured bacterium. RNAcentral's name for it is "partial 16S ribosomal RNA". It matches the Rfam family "Bacterial small subunit ribosomal RNA", at positions 29 to 507 of the family's 1533-position model. The record is from RNAcentral.
AGUGAACGCAGGCGGUAGGCCUAACACAUGCAAGUCGAACGGCAGCACAGUAAGAGCUUGCUCUUACGGGUGGCGAGUGGCGGACGGGUGAGGAAUACAUCGGAAUCUACUUUUUCGUGGGGGAUAACGUAGGGAAACUUACGCUAAUACCGCAUACGACCUACGGGUGAAAGCAGGGGAUCUUCGGACCUUGCGCGAUUGAAUUAGCCGAUGUCGGAUUAGCUAGUUGGCGGGGUAAAGGCCCACCAAGGCGACGAUCCGUAGCUGGUCUGAGAGGAUGAUCAGCCACACUGGAACUGAGACACGGUCCAGACUCCUACGGGAGGCAGCAGUGGGGAAUAUUGGACAAUGGGCGCAAGCCUGAUCCAGCCAUACCGCGUGAGUGAAGAAGGCCUUCGGGUUGUAAAGCCCUUUUGUUGGGAAAGAAAAGCAGCAGGUUAAUACCCCGCUGUUCUGACGGUACCCAAAGAAUAAGCACCGGCUAACUUCGUG